CCUACGGGAGGCAGCAGUGAGGAAUAUUGGUCAAUGGGCUUACGCCUGAACCAGCCAAGUCGCGUGAGGGAAGACUGCCCUAUGGGUUGUAAACCUCUUUUGUCAGGGAGCAACGCCGGCUACGUGUAGCCGGACUGAGAGUACCUGAAGAAAAAGCAUCGGCUAACUCCGUGCCAGCAGCCGCGGUAAUACGGAGGAUGCGAGCGUUAUCCGGAUUGAUUGGGUUUAAAGGGUGCGUAGGCGGAAUGCCAAGUCAGCGGUAAAAUCGCGGGGCUCAACCUCGCUCCGCCGUUGAAACUGGCGUUCUUGAGUGGGCGAGAAGUAUGCGGAAUGCGUGGUGUAGCGGUGAAAUGCAUAGAUAUCACGCAGAACUCCAAUUGCGAAGGCAGCAUACCGGCGCCCAACUGACGCUGAAGCACGAAAGCGUGGGUAUCGAACAGGAUUAGAUACCCCUGUAGUC
This 460-nucleotide ribosomal RNA is filed under the name uncultured bacterium. RNAcentral describes it as "partial 16S ribosomal RNA". It matches the Rfam family "Bacterial small subunit ribosomal RNA", at positions 338 to 795 of the family's 1533-position model. The record is from RNAcentral.